Molecule: long non-coding RNA, 1617 nt
Organism: Triticum aestivum (bread wheat)
Lineage: Eukaryota; Viridiplantae; Streptophyta; Magnoliopsida; Poales; Poaceae
Exons: 3
Source: RefSeq, a predicted model, not a curated record
GACAGCGGUUCUGUGCGUGCACAUGACCGGUCGUGUUGGUUCAUAGGUCCUCUGCUCCCGAUGAUUAUUUCUACCGCAUAUGGAGAGGGGAGAGCCGUCGAGUGGAUCUCGCGGAAGGGGCCUCCGCCGGCCGCCGGCCCCCGGCCUCCUCCCGGGGCUGCUAGGUCCUGCCGACCACCGGCGACCUGCUCGCUGGUGAGUAUAUGCAGCGGCCCGAAGAGGCACGUGCAGGGGAAGGCUUCCCCGGAUCUCCCAGGACAGCGAUAUCAGGUACAUGGGCAUGAGAUGGGAAUCACAAUUGUUGUGGAGGAAGGGAAGAAUGUCUUGUUAUUUGGCUGUUGCCAUCCAUGUUCUUUUGGGUUUCACAAUGCAAUAAGUGUUCCUCUCCGCAACGAAUAUAUUAGAUCGAGCAUCAUGUCAUGUACACCAUAAGCUUUUGCUGUCUUCAUAGUCGAUGUCUACCAGUUCGAUCAUGCUUCUAUUUAUCAACUCAUUGAAGUAACCCUCUCCUAGCUCAAAUGGGCCAAUUUCUCGUUUACAUGAUACAUAAAAAAUUCAGAUAUCCAUCUCCAUAUGAACUGGUCUCUCUUCAUUUUGUAAUCUUCUGGAUACAUGCUUACUUAUAAUAAAUGAUGUGAAGGUAGAUCAUAGAACAACAACAUAAUCUUUUGACUUCGGCAAGUCAGUGUAGACUAGAGAUAGAACACAACAGGAGCCACACACACCAACUAUAUGGAAAGUAGCAAUGAAAUAGUAAAACAAGCUCCUGACUUGUAGAUUAUGUCAAAGUGAUGGUCUAGAAUCAAGCUUCUUUUACUACUAGUUUUGGUCUACCUUGACAUCUGCUAUAGGAUUAGUUAUUAUAUAUAAGUAUGUUUUCAGAAGAUUAGAAGAUUAAGCAAGGUCAGUUGAUAGUAAAUGGAUAGCUGAAUGUUUUUGUUUAUCAUGAAAAACAAGAGAUUAGCUUAUUUGAGAUCGGAAUAGAGUUACUCAAUGAGACAAUAAAUAGAAACAUGAUUGAACCAACAGACAUCAAUGCUGAUGAAGGCAUGGAAUAAAUCUUAUCGUAUACUCCCUCUGUAAACUAAUAUAAGAGCGUUUAGAACACUACUUUAGUAAUCUAAACGCUCUUAUAUUAGUUUACGGAGGGAGUACAUGAUAUGAUGAUUGAUCCCAUAUGUAUGUUUUUGCCAAGUGAAGAAAACCACUUGUAUGGCAUUGGGUGAAAGCGGUCUAUCCAAAGGCAAGAUUUGAAGAUCAUCCAUCUGAAAGAGCACGACAGACAUAACCACCAUCAGAAGCAGCAACAAUGCCACAAAUUCAAGAACGACCAAGUUUCUGCGGCACCUCCUGCAUUUUUCUCAGGAUGAACUUCCUUCUCCAUUUCAUUCUUUUGUAAGGAAGAGUUUUGUACUUAUGAUGUAUGCCUGGCAGGUUAAUUUUCCGCCAGCUCAAGUUAAUGUAGCCUGGCAUCCCUUACAUUUUCUCCUUAAGAACCAUCAGUUAUUCUGUACUGAUGUCUUGUAUGCUUCCUCUCCUGCAUUCAUCAUUACACUCCUUUGUUUGUUACAGCUUUAUUUGAGACUCACAAACCAAAAAACCACGUUCAGCUUGUAC